CUACCGACGUGAGGGUCAAGUGGCGCUGAACUGCGACCGCUAGUGGGGGGUGUCUAUUCCCCCCGCGACACUGCCAAAUUGCGGGAACCUCCUAAAGCCUCUGCUACCGCGGCUCACCGAAAGGUUGAGUGCAGCACCAGGGUAAUGACCUCGGGGAUGGUAACAACGUAGAGGAUGCAACAAUGGACGAUCCGCAGCCAAGCUCUACGCCCAGGAGACCCCUGGGUAUGGGUGCAGUUCAACGACUAGAUGGUAGUGGGCUUCCCGGUGACCGCUGGGGGGCUUAAGAUAUAGUCUGAUGACCGGCUGAAAGGCCUGG
Intron RNA from Talaromyces stipitatus ATCC 10500, 319 nucleotides. It matches the Rfam family "Group I catalytic intron". Rfam says of the family: Group I catalytic introns are large self-splicing ribozymes. They catalyse their own excision from mRNA, tRNA and rRNA precursors in a wide range of organisms. The core secondary structure consists of 9 paired regions (P1-P9). The record is from Rfam. NCBI's taxonomy places the organism in Eukaryota, Fungi, Ascomycota, Eurotiomycetes, Eurotiales, Trichocomaceae.